GUUAAUAUAGGAGUAUGGGGAGUUAGUUGAUUGGUUAAAAGGGUACACUGUUCUUACAUGUUUCGGUAGGUUUCAAGUCCGUUGGUGGCUCAGAAUCUCGGUGGUGUAGGGGUAUCUGGGUAUUCCCCUACCUGGUGAAAAUGUGGAAUGGUGGGAGAAAUGCAGAGUGGGUGGGAAGGGAGAGCUAGCUUUCCCCUGCAGGCACUCUGACUGCAAGAGAAAGAUUAUCAUGGCUGUCGUCAUAGGUGUGUGCAUGGGGUCUGCCGGGUGUGCCUGGGCACACCCUAAUCCCCACGGCACGCCUAUGGAUUGAGACCAGCAGGGGAGAUCUCCCCUGUCGGCUCAUGCAGAGCCCGCGCUAUCCAAGCCUCCAUGGGCCUGCUCUAAGCCUCCAUGGGCCGGUGGGGAGAUCAAUGAUCUACCUCACCGGCCAACAGCAGCAUGGAGGGAGGCGGGAGAGGAGGCGGGAGAGGACCCGGGGAGCUCUAGCCAGCACCUCCGCCGGGUUCCUCUCACGAGAUCUGAGCGUCAACGCAACGGCAAUGCUCAGAUCUCGCGAGAGUGACUCUAGCCCCGCAGAGUUCACUCUCCUCUGGACCACCAGGGAUGGCACAUGGCAGCAAGGAUCCCCCUCCCUACAUGAGGUAAGAAGGGAGGGAGGAUAUUUACUAAUCUGCCCCCACCUCCACCCCCACAAUACCUCCAAACAUACAGUACACACACAGCACACACACAUAUACAGCACCCUCACACACACAGCACACUCACACAUACAGCACCCUCAUACACAGCACCCUCACACACACAGUACAAUACCAGCACCCUCACAAACACACACACACAGCACCCUUACAAACACACAGCAACCUCACACACAGCACAAUAACAGCACCCUCACAAAUACACACAGCACCGUCACACACAGCACACAAACAGCACCCUCACACCCAAACAGCACCCUCACAAACACUAGACACCCACAUACAGCACCCUCACACACACAGCACCCUCACACAAACAGUACACUAACAGCACCCUCACACGGCACCCUUACAAACACACAGCACCCUCACAAACACACACACACAGCACACAAACAGCACACUCACAAACAUCACACUCACACACA
This is a non-coding RNA of Pelobates cultripes (western spadefoot toad), 1129 nucleotides long. The record is from the annotation of a GenBank genome assembly. Lineage: Eukaryota; Metazoa; Chordata; Amphibia; Anura; Pelobatidae.